This 253-nucleotide ribosomal RNA is filed under the name uncultured bacterium. RNAcentral describes it as "partial 16S ribosomal RNA". It matches the Rfam family "Bacterial small subunit ribosomal RNA", at positions 524 to 776 of the family's 1533-position model. The record is from RNAcentral.
UACGGGGGGGGCAAGCGUUGUUCGGAAUUACUGGGCGUAAAGGGCUCGUAGGUGGCCAACUAAGUCAGACGUGAAAUCCCUCAGCUUAACUGGGGAACUGCGUCUGAUACUGGAUGGCUUGAGAGUGGGAGAGGGAUGCGGAAUUCCAGGUGUAGCGGUGAAAUGCGUAGAUAUCUGGAGGAACACCGGUGGCGAAGGCGGCAUCCUGGACCAACACUGACACUGAGGAGCGAAAGCCAGGGGAGCAAACGGG